UCUAACAUUCUCCCAUCCUGCAGGCCUGAGUCCAGACCGAGACCCAGAGAAAUGUAAACAAACGCACCAGUCAGACUUGAUAUAGGAGUGAAUUUGUUGCUUUUUAAAGCGGCAGUCGGUCUGUACAUGUGUGAGGUGGCGAGGGGUGUCGCCAGGGGGCGGCUAGUAGCGUCUGCCACCAGGGAAAUAUGUAAAAACAUAAAAAAGACGCUUCUCAAGAAAGAGAGGGGCAGUCGGUCUGUACAUGCGUGAGGUGGCGAGAGGCGUGUCCAGGGGGCGGCUAGUAGCGUGUGCCACCGUGGAAAUAUGUACAGACAUAAAGAAGACGCCCUCAAGAAAGAGAGGGGCAGUCGGUCUGUACAUGCGUGAGGUGGCGAGAGGCGUGUCCAGGGGGCAGCUGGUAACGUGUGCCACCGUGGAAAAAUAUGCAGACAUAAAGAAGACGCCCUCAAGAAAGGCCUGAGUCCAGACCGAGACCCAGAGAAAUGUAAACAAACGCACCAGUCAGACUUGAUAUAGGAGUGAAUUUGUUGCUUUUUAAAGCGGCAGUCGGUCUGUACAUGUGUGAGGUGGCGAGGGGUGUCGCCAGGGGGCGGCUAGUAGCGUCUGCCACCAGGGAAAUAUGUAAAAACAUAAAAAAGACGCUUCUCAAGAAAGGCCUGAGUCCAGACCGAGACCCAGAGAAAUGUAAACAAACGCACCAGUCAGACUUGAUAUAGGAGUGAAUUUGUUGCUUUUUAAAGCGGCAGUCGGUCUGUACAUGUGUGAGGUGGCGAGGGGUGUCGCCAGGGGGCGGCUAGUAGCGUCUGCCACCAGGGAAAUAUGUAAAAACAUAAAAAAGACGCUUCUCAAGAAAGAGAGGGGCAGUCGGUCUGCACAUGCGUGAGGUGGCGAGAGGCGUGUCCAGGGACGGCUAGUAGCGUGUGCCACCGUGGAAAUAUGUACAGACAUAAAGAAGACGCCCUCAAGAAAGG
Scylla paramamosain (green mud crab) is the source of this 974-nucleotide long non-coding RNA. RefSeq lists it as uncharacterized. The record is from RefSeq and is a predicted model, not a curated record. The transcript is spliced from 7 exons. NCBI's taxonomy places the organism in Eukaryota, Metazoa, Arthropoda, Malacostraca, Decapoda, Portunidae.